AGGGGAGGGAACGAACGAAGCUGAGAGCCGAGCAGGAAGGGAAAUUAAACGAAGGCAGGAGAGAGGCUUUGAAUGCUAACAAGCGUUAUAGCUUUAACUACAAUAGUAGCCGUCGUUGUUUAGCCUAAAAGGUGAAGAGGUUUUUUUUUGUGCCGAAAACAUCAAACGAAUGGAGUCGGCGAACUCGUAGCCAACCACGAUUGCAAAAAGCCCAAACACCUGGUAACCCGCCGAACUUGGAGAGCAAGCGAAGGCUAUGCGCCAGCUGCAGAAUUCACCAUCAUCAUCAUCAUCAUCGGUGCCCCGCUACCUUCAUCUUUUUCAGUUGAAGUGAAAUGUAUUGCCUAGUCUGUAUGGGAGACGGAUCUUACACUUACUGACCACUACCAUGGAGAUAGAGAAUAUAGUCGCCAACACGGUGCUGCUGAAGGCGAGAGAAGGUGGAGGAGGGAAGAGGAAUGGGCGCAGUAAGAAAUGGAAGGAGAUGUUGAAACUUCCCCACAUCAGUCUGUGUGAAGAGCUACGACCUCACCAUCGACAGGGACUAUACCAGUUUGUGUGAGAGACAGCCGAUU
Molecule: long non-coding RNA, 575 nt
Organism: Oncorhynchus gorbuscha (pink salmon)
Lineage: Eukaryota; Metazoa; Chordata; Actinopteri; Salmoniformes; Salmonidae
Exons: 3
Source: RefSeq, a predicted model, not a curated record